GAAGAGAGACCCUGAAAAUAGAAGUUCUCCUGGCUGCAGACUGCAGUCCCAACAGGGGAGCCAUGAAGACACUGCCUGGGCCUUUGUUCCUGUUCUUGUGGCUGCAGUUGGACUGUGUGAGCAGAGGAGAGAAGGUAGAGCAGCGUCCUUCCUUUCUGAGUGUCCAGGAGGGAGACAGCGCGGUCAUCCACUGCACUUACACAGACAGUGCCUCCACCUCCUUCUUUUGGUAUAAGCAACAGCCUGGAGCAGGUCUGCAGUUGCUCAUGCAGAUUUUUUCAAGUAUGGAGAAGAAGCAAGACCAGAGACUCACUGUCCUCCUGAGUAAGAAGGACAAACAUCUCUCCCUGAACAUCACAGCUGCCCAUCCCAGGGACUCAGCCACCUACUUCUGUGCAGCAAGAGCACAGUGCUCCACAGGCACGUGUAUCCUGUACCAAACCUGCACUUGUCUCAAGUUUGAAACGAAGCUCCCCCUGGAGUUGGAUUAG
Molecule: non-coding RNA, 491 nt
Organism: Sciurus carolinensis (gray squirrel)
Lineage: Eukaryota; Metazoa; Chordata; Mammalia; Rodentia; Sciuridae
Source: the annotation of a RefSeq genome assembly